GAUGAAGAACUUAGCGAAAUGCGAUAAGUAAUGUGAAUUGCAGAAUUCAGUGAAUCAUCGAAUCUUUGAACGCACAUUGCGCCCGUCAGUAUUCUGGCGGGCAUGCCUGUUCGAGCGUCAUUACGCCCCUCAAGUCCCCUGUGGACUUGGUUUUGGGGAUCGGCGAGGCUGGUUUUCCAGCACAGCCGUCCCUUAAAUUAAUUGGCGGUCUCGCCGUGGCCCUCCUCUGCGCAGUAGUAAAACACUCGCAACAGGAGCCCGGCGCGGUCCACUGCCGUAAAACCCCCCAACUUUUUAUAGUUGACCUCGAAUCAGGUAGGACUACCCGCUGAACUUAAGCAUAUCAAUAAGCGGAGGA
RNAcentral lists this unclassified non-coding RNA (358 nucleotides) under soil metagenome. RNAcentral's name for it is "partial contains 5.8S ribosomal RNA, internal transcribed spacer 2, and large subunit ribosomal RNA". The stretch from base 1 to 120 matches the Rfam family "5.8S ribosomal RNA", at positions 35 to 154 of the family's 154-position model. The record is from RNAcentral.